AAAUAAUAAUAAUUAUUAUUAUUUUUCCUUCUCUUCUUUCGGUUUUAGUUUACCAACUGUACCGCUCUUCCUCUUUCUCCUCCUUUUUUCAGUCCGUUUGUCUGUCAAUUUCUUCUGUCUCCAUGAAAACCUCGCCAAUAGGAAACCCACCUCCACAUGGUGUCGAGCUUUGACCUUUUGUUGCAAAUGGGUACCUUUAGGUGAUGUUUCUGAGUGCUUGAGAACUCUUCUUGAUGCCACGCAACUCUGUCUGCUUUUAAUGGGUUUUCUAGCCAUGGUGAAGCAGCGACUGGAGGUGGCUCUUUGAUUUGCCCAUGCCUCGUGGACAGAUCUCUCUUUCUCCUAUCUCACUCUGCCUAGCUGCUUGAAUGGAAAGGAUACGGAUAUACACAAACUUAAGGAGGGGGUUGUAAAGUAAAACGAAAUUCAAAGACAUUACCAAUACAUUGUCAUUUAAAAGACCUCCACCACCCCAAGAUGGCACCUUUCCUGCAGAGUCAAAUAUAUCAAGUCAAAACAAUUAAAAUAUCAAAGUAUUUGAAACGUUGCUAAUCAAAUUCCACUCCUGUUGCCCAUUGAUUGUAUAAUCUUUCUUAUUGUCCUUCCUCCUAUCUCACCAUAAUCUUAAUCAAUUAAAUUAAGAAGAGAGAGAAACCUCAAAAGUGAUGAUUCAGAAAAGUAAAGGGAAAAGUUAAUAAAGUCAACAUGAUUUAGAGAUUAGUGAAUGUAAAGGAUUACCAAAGGGCUGCACCAACUGCUGAGAUAUUGCAGCAAGAGGAGUCCUCCAAAACCAGCAAAUCAACAUAAAGUAUGUCACAAUCAUUAAAGGGCACAGAAGUUCCGUCUUGAUGCUCAAUUUGCAGCUUGGAAUCAGGUAUACUGUUGGACAAAUUGCACCUGUACAGAGGUGAGAAGCUUGCUUGUGAGAUUUUGGUCAAAGAGCAAGCUUUUGGAUGAAUUUUCCAAAAGAUUGAUCACAGUUAACCCCACCCCAUCAAUCUGAUGAUUUUAAGUGGAAACACUACUAUGCAAACAUCUUUAGGAAUUUGAAAGAGAAGUUCAAGAUAGAUGCCAUUGACUAUGUGACGUCCAUUUGUGGAAAUGGUUCUCUUAGGGAACUUUUCUCUCCUGGAAGAAGUGGUAGCAUCUUUUUCCUGUCUCAAGAUGAUUACUUUAUGAUUAUGACGCUCCAGAAAUCUAAAGUGAAGUUUGUUAGAAGACAUAUUGACUGUCAAACAUGUCUUCCUCAUUUACCUCCUCUCUCUCUCUCUCUCUCUCUCUCUUGAGAGGGUGAAAUUAUGAAGGGAACUUUUAAGCUGGAGCUUGGUAAAAUAACUCCAUAGAUACCUUACAUGCACUGGUGAUGUUUCUGAGCGCUUGAGAACUGUUCUUGAUGCCACGCAACUUUGACCGCUUUUAAUCGGUUUCCCAAGCCAUGGUGAAGCAGCGACUGGCCGUGGCUUUCUGAUAUGCCCAUGCCCUGUGGAUAAGAUCUCUCUUUCUAUCUCACUCUCCCUA
Hevea brasiliensis (rubber tree) is the source of this 1518-nucleotide long non-coding RNA. RefSeq lists it as uncharacterized. The record is from RefSeq and is a predicted model, not a curated record. The transcript is spliced from 5 exons. NCBI's taxonomy places the organism in Eukaryota, Viridiplantae, Streptophyta, Magnoliopsida, Malpighiales, Euphorbiaceae.